AGUUAGUGUGACAGUCACUAUCGCUGCAUGUGUAAGAGCAGCGUGUGCAGUAAGUGUAUUUGUCACCUAGACAUAUUUCCAGCUGCCCAGUGGGACCAGCUUUGGCUUCAGUGCAGGACCGCAAAUCUCAAAUGCAGCUGUGGGAACCAACAGUAGUAAAUAAUCUCCCUGUGAGGAGCAGGGGUAGGGGGUCUGUCCGCUUUGCAGGGAACCUCAGUCGUUACAUGAGAUCCUCAGAACAAAAACAAUUUAUGGAAAAUCACUAGACAGAAUACUGUGGCCAUUGAUCAACUCCUUCUUAUAAUGAUAUAUAUUAGUUCAUGGAUAAUUUUUGCAUGUUAUUUUUUCUGAUUGACUGGAAAAGUGAAUUCUGUAAGUACGCAGUAAAUCUUGAAUUCACCUGUGUUGAACAUCUUAUACCUGACUUGUUGUUACCAAAGAAGGUGAAUUUUGAAACUGAGAUUACAAAAAAAGUAAUAAAAAUAGAUCCUACCUUCUUAUUUUAUUUUCUUACUUCGGUAUAUUGUUGAUGUGUUCUUAACACAGACUAAGGUGAGAAUUUUUCCCUCUGUUAGGGCACUAUUUUUCUAUCCACUCAAGAAAUACAGCCUGUUUUUUGGCAGAGGUUUUUAAUAUUUAUUGCUUUCUUAUUGCAUCAGUUAGAGUUUUGUUUAGCUACAAGUGCAUAGCAGCAGAAUAAUUUUACAUGGAAUCCACCCUGUUUUGCCCUUCCCAAAAUAGCUUAUUGUUUUGAUUUACAGGAAUAAGGAACUCUAAAGUGCUUUGUGAAAUGAAAAUACUUUUACGGACUCUGUUAACAGGAACUUUAAACAGAAUAGAACAAAGUCCUUCUACAAAUGCCAGACUGAUGGCAUGGCCAAAAUAAAGAAAUAAUUGAGCUCUAGCAACAUUUUUUAUAACUGGUGCAAAAGCUGUUAUUACAAUUAAAAGUUUGCUGUAAACCAAAUAAUAGUGAAAGACUGCAACAUGCGAAAUUGGGCCGUCUGAAGGAAGAAUUUUAUGAGUGGGAAACAUGAGGAAUUUUAUCUGAGAGAAAUUAGUUUACUAUUUUGAAGAACAUGGUAAGAUCUAAACAUGCAGUUUAUUUAUAUUUAUUUUAUUUAUUUAUAGUAGUAGAUAUUUCAUCAGCACUUUGCCUGCAUGAGUUUGCUCAGUAAUUUUUUCUCUUUUCAUACACUUCUGUUUUAGAUCCAGUGAGUGAGAUGCAGAAAGUGUAAGCUACCUGAGUUCUGUGGACUUCAGGGAAGUAACAUUAUUUUAUAUCAUCUCAGGAAGCUCUGUUUGAGAACAGGGAAAAGAAAAGGCCACAUAGCUGCUCUCCCUGUUUCAGUUCCUACAAAGCAUCUGUAAGAUGAAAAGACGUAGUUUCAUUUUAUUUUGUGUAUGUAAACAGUUCCUUUUCCAAUAAAGCAGAAGAAACAAGGAAAAAAGGAAACGGAAAAUACCAGGUAUCUCUGCCUGUGUUCUUGCAGUACUUGUAGCCACAAUCCUAUACUUUGACAGAAUCUAUCAGUCUGUAACUGAUGCUUUCCUUAGUGGUUUCAUGGUUUUAGGGGGGCUCUGGAAAGAAAAGGGAAUAAAAGGGGAUGGAAUUAUAAAGCCUAUGGCCUGCAGCUUUCUCAAAGAUAAGCUUGCCUAACACUCUGUUUUGUUGGUAUCAGGUUAAUAAUAAUUCAGAAGGGCAGAAGAUAGGAAGAGAAGGAGGCAAUGAACAGGUUCUUGCCACAAGUGAGCCACACUCUCCCCUGAAUGCUUGCACAGAGUUGUUUUUACCAGGCAUCCUGCUGUCUCAGUAAAAGAAUGAGUAUCAGAUGUUUAGCCUCAUCGUCAGAAUCCCUUUAGCUCAUUUGAGUUUGGACACAUCACUGUGUUACAUCACAUAAUUGCUUGAAUGUGUAUCAACAUUAAUAAGUCUCCAGUUGUUAAAGACUUGGUAAAAUAACAAAAGUGCUCUAGUGGCUUACAUUUAGCAGUACUUUUGCAGAAGGUGGAGGUAAGGCUUAAAUAUUAAAAAAGUCAGGAAGCCAUGUUUACCUGUAAGUCAGCAACUUUGGCAUUUCAGAAACUCAGCAAGAAGCUUUGGAGGGCUGAGAAAGCACUGUAAGCUCUAGUGAAAGCAGUGUGCUCUGUCACUGAGCUCCCUGGACUGGCUGUGACAGUAAUCCAAAAUGCCAAAAUAUUGCCCAUUGUGAUGUUAUAAGUAAUGAUUGCACACAAAAUGGGAGAAGGUAUUGGCAUAGCAGUGAUAAUAGUAUAAUUAGGAAAGCAAACUCUGAAAGAAAAAAAAUACCACAUUCAAGAUGUAUUUUGAUACUUUCAGAACAUAAAAGAGAUGGUGUUCUCUGGUUUGUUCUAUGAUUGUGUUCACAGUAGUUUGUGCUACUGUGUGUACUGUGGAAAAGUGAGUUUAAUAUAAAUGUAAAUACAAUCUUGCAUUGAGCAGUGAUUGAAAGGUUUAUUUUUUUUAGCUGUUCAUUUCUGCAGUAGGAGACUGAAGUGACCAGUAUGGCAAUGUAAGGGACAGGGAAAUGGAGAGUCCCCACUGGGCUCCCUUCCUUCCACUGGUCUGAGGAAAUUGGUAUUCACUGGGUAAUGUUUUAUCUUUGUUGAAAAUGCUGAAACGUGAGAAACAAAAGGAAGUGCAUUUGUCGUUCAGUGCUUAGUCCUUUUCUGUCACAAAGCAUGAAAUGAUAGUUUAGAAGUGAGCAGCAAUGACAUUGUAUGCAAACUGAAUCAAUUUUAAUGGAUUUUUUGAGAAAACACAAUGACAGUAUCCACAGAAUCAUCAAAGUCACUGUGUUUGCAAAUAAUGCAUGUGAAUUUCCAAGUGGCAACAUUGACUGGGUACCGUGGGGUGCCUUACAUGUUCAUAAGGCUCUGUGGCUUCUGGGCAUUACCCCUCCCAUACUGGAAAGCCCAGAGGCAGAAGUCAAGCACUCCUUUGUGAGUAGCAAACUGAAAUUUUGGUAGCUGAAAUUCAGUUUCUGCUUCAGCUGUCAGACAUUGCACUGAACUCAGCAGAUCACAGUAGACACCUGCAAUUGCUAUGCUCAUGGCAUUCUUUCUUACAGACAACCUCUGAGACAGCUGUGAUCAAAAAAAUGUAAUGUAUGAGACUGUAAAAGUUUAUUUCUUUAGUUUCUUUCAGCCAGGAAGCAGGAGAAGAGGACUUCAAGGUGCUAGUGCUGUUUCUUGCAACAACAAUGAGCUCGUCAUCAUCAAAUCUGACAGUGAUCAACAUCCCUAAAUACAGCAAGCAGGCCUGCUCCAUUGUGUGCCUGACCUCUGCAGCUGGGGCACAAGAUUCUUGGUUCAUUUCCAGAUACAGACCUGCUUUUCUGCUGUGGUUGCUGUUCAUCCUACCUUACAGAAGAGCAAUUCAUUGGGAGCCAAGCUAUAGGUACUUGCUACUUACUGCUACCUGCUCUGGGGACAGGAGGAAAAAGGACAGAUCAUACAUCCAUUACAUACUGCAAUACUCAAAGAAUAAUCUCCCAAAUCCUUCACUUUGAGUGCCAUUUUCUGCUCCUUAGCUCUGAGCUCUGCUCUGUUACAGGUCUUUAGGAGACAAAUGUUUUCCACUACCUUCUCUCCUGUCUGUCUCUCAGCCUCACUUAGCACCUGCUGAAUGGGGACACACCUGAGUCUCCUGCUUUUUUUAAUGGCAAGAUCUGUAGCAGAUGGGACUUUCCCCCAGACAGCAACUACUACCAGCACUGCACUGCUCACAACACCAGAAGUCCCAGGCUUCCGGGAAGACAAGACCCCUUGAAGAACUUUUCUGAAGAGCCUGGAAUCUCUGUUAUCAGAGAAUUAAACAGAGGUGCUGGCUGGAGCACAGCUUCAAGGAAAAAAGCUGGACCUGAGAGGUAAAAAGGCCUCACUGGUGGCAGGCAGAAGACUUGGAAAGCAGAAUUCCAAUCAAGGUUUCUCACCUGGGCAAUCCCCUAGCCCAAAGAAAAUCUGUUGUUUAGAGAUGAGCUGUAGAGUCAAGACUCUCUUUGUGCAGCUACUUUGAAAUACACAGGCAUCUUCUUCACUUCUGUGGGUUCUGUGAGCUCCAGCUAGACGGUACAGGCAGGACUCACUCCAGAGAUGCUGUGGCUUCUGCUGCAGGUGUUCAACAGCAGGAAGAUAAGAGGAGGUUUGAGAAGUGCUACUCACAGAUUGCACCAAACAAGCUAAGGCUGGUGUAAUUACAGAGGAUCAUCCUCACCAAUUGGAUAAUUUUUGUGCACUGAGUGGUGGAAGUGUGCAAGUUGGUUGCAUGCAUGGUGCUCACAUCUCAUCUGUGCAUGAGCUGUGGGCAGUGAGAAUUGUUCCCUCCUAGUAAAGGCUGAACUGGUGCUGUUUUUGGGAGUCGAGGGGCACUAUGUUCUGUGUGUCUUCCAUUCCAGACACUAUAAUACAAUGGUGGAUUUAGUGAAUCUGACCCUUGAAAGCCUGGGGGCAAUUGCAUGUCCAGAGACUUUUGUUUGGCCAGAAGGUGCUUGGGAUUAAAAUUGUUCUAGGAUUUGGAAUGUGAUCCUUCUCUGCAAUCUGAAAUAUAGAAGCACAAGUGAAAGAAGACCUGUUCAACCCAUGCCAUGUUUUCUUUUUUACUGCCAAGAACUAGAUGUGCUGCUGAAUCUUAGGUUUACCAUCCCACUCUAUGGUUUGAAGGUAAGCAGAUCUUAACCUCUGAAGAGCUUGCAUAACACUCAGGUAGAAAGGAAUUUCUGGGAGUCUCCCUUGUUACAUUUGCUGUUUAUUUCUAGCUGGGAGUAUCAAGCAGAAAUGUUCUGAGGCCAUGUUGCACAUUUGCCCCAUUUGCCCCAGUACAUAUCACCACGUAUGGUUCACUGAUCCUUCAUCUACAUAUGGCCCAUGUGUUCCUUUCCAGAUGCCUCGCACUUAAGUGUUGUCUUUCCAAGGAGGAUAAUUCUCAAGAUUAUUUAGCAUAUCAAAGUGACAAGACAAGCUCAUCUCUACCCCUGGAAAAGAACUAGGGCAAAGAGAUUUUGUUGAUUUCUGGCCCUCUCCAUUCCCCUCAAGUCAAGCCAUUUAUCCUCCAGCAUAACAUCUUAAUGGUAAAGGAUGCUAACUAGUAUGAGACUUGAUGGUUUCCUCUGAGAGAAGGUUUCAAAAUUCCAUGAUCUUAGUCAGAAUUUUCUAAAUAGAUUCUAGCUGCUGUCCAUUUUGGGCCAUGUAGAGGGAUAGAAUAUAAGAAAAUAAAGAUAGUGUAGAAAGUAAUCUUACCCCUAAGUAGUUGCAGCUGGGCCAAUUAUCAAAGCUUAGCAACAGGCCUGACUUUAAGAGGCCACAGCUGAACCAAUGAGACGAAGAUGCUAUA
This is a long non-coding RNA of Zonotrichia albicollis (white-throated sparrow), 5353 nucleotides long. RefSeq lists it as uncharacterized. NCBI's taxonomy places the organism in Eukaryota, Metazoa, Chordata, Aves, Passeriformes, Passerellidae. The record is from RefSeq and is a predicted model, not a curated record.